UUCCUCCUCCGGAACACCACACCACAGCCCAGCCUCCACUCCACGCCUCACCUCGCUCCCUCGCCACGACUCUCCGCCAGCCAAUGUCGGCUCCCGCCCACGCGAUACGCCGCACAGCCCGCCCCGUCUCCUCGUGAGAUCGCCGCGCCGCUCCUCCCUGCUCCCUCCGCCACGCGCCGCCCGCCCGCUCCCUCCAAUCGCGCGCCCUCGCGCCCGCAUCUCGCGCCUCGCCGGUCCGUGGCCCCGACGUUCCUCGACGCCUCCCGGCGCCCUUUUCCGCGCGGAAUCCGAGUGCCCCGUGCGCCCUUCGCCGUCCGCGGGAUCCGCGAGGCCGCGAGAGGUACCACCGUUCGGGGGGCGCGGACAAUGGCGGCAGCGGCGCCACCGCUCUGCGCGUGGCUCGUCGCCGCGGGCGCGCACGCGGACUUCGGGGCGGACGAGCACCGCCAGACGCAGUGCCUCGACGCCGGCUCCGGCGCGACGUUCGGCCUCGACCGCCGCCCCCUCGGGGUGCGGCGCCGUGGGUCCGCGCGCUCUGGAAUGGCCGUGUCUGUUGCCUUGCAGCCUGAAAGGGUAAUUGUCGAGAAGAAGAGACCUGAUGUUAAACAAAGGAGAGUGGUCGUCACGGGCAUGGGUGUAGUGACGCCACUGGGUCAUGAUCCUGAUGUGUUUUACAACAACCUUCUUGACGGUCAUAGUGGAAUAAGCGAGAUUGAGACGUUUGACUGCUCCAAGUUCCCCACGAGAAUUGCAGGAGAGAUCAAAUCCUUCUCUACUGAAGGUUGGGUUGUACCCAAGCUAUCUAAGCGAAUGGACAAGUUCAUGCUGUAUUUGAUAACUGCUGGUAAGAAAGCAUUGGAAAACGGUGGGCUCACCGAAGAAGUCAGGAAUGACUUGGAUAAAACCAGAUGUGGGGUUCUCAUUGGCUCUGCGAUGGGCGGCAUGAAGGUAUUUAAUGACGCGAUUGAAGCGCUAAGGGUUUCUUACAGGAAAAUGAACCCGUUUUGUGUUCCCUUUGCUACUACUAAUAUGGGUUCUGCAAUACUUGCAAUGGAUCUGGGCUGGAUGGGGCCAAAUUACUCUAUUUCCACUGCAUGUGCCACCAGUAAUUUUUGUAUCCUCAACGCAGCAAACCAUAUCAGAAGAGGGGAAGCUGAUGUCAUGCUUUGUGGUGGUUCUGAUGCGCCACUCAUCCCAAUUGGAUUGGGAGGUUUUGUUGCCUGCAGAGCUCUUUCACAGAGGAACAGUGACCCAACAAAAGCUUCCCGGCCCUGGGAUAUGGACCGUGAUGGUUUUGUUAUGGGAGAAGGGGCAGGUGUGCUAGUAUUGGAAGAACUUGAGCAUGCUAAGCAAAGAGGUGCAACAAUAUAUGCUGAAUUUCUUGGUGGAAGCUUCACAUGCGAUGCUUACCAUAUGACUGAGCCGCAUCCUGAAGGAACGGGGAUCACUCUCUGCAUUGAGAAGGCACUGGCUGAUUCAGGGGUAGCAAGGGAAGAGAUUAACUAUGUGAAUGCGCAUGCAACAUCUACACAAUCAGGCGAUUUGAAGGAGUAUGAAGCGAUCGUUCGUUGCUUCGGCCAGAACCCUCAGCUAAGGGUGAACUCAACAAAAUCAAUGACCGGGCAUCUUAUAGGAGCAGCUGGUGGAAUAGAAGCUGUUGCUUGUAUACAAGCUAUAAGAACUGGUUGGGUCCAUCCAAAUCUGAAUUUGGAGAACCCAGAAAAAGUAGUGGAUGUGGGCGUUUUAGUUGGAGCAGAGAAGGAGAGGUGCGAAGUAAAGGUGGCGCUGUCAAACUCAUUUGGAUUCGGUGGGCAUAACUCAUCAAUUCUGUUUGCCCCCUUCAAGUAAACCUGGGAUGGUGAUGCUUACUUCCUCGUUGUCCGAUUAUGGAAUGGAACUGGAACUGGAACUGGAACUGCAUAUACAAGACUAGUGGAGUAGCUAGGCGGCUUCUUUGAAUAUUACAUGGAGGUCUGAGCUAAGAAGAUCAUCGUAUUACUUACAGUCGAGCUAAGAGAGCCUCCGAGCCCCCAGCCAUGUUCAUAUUUGUCGCCAUCGCAUCGCAGGCACAUCCCCUGUCAAGGGUCCAGUCUUCCUUUCGCAAGUGAAGAAUCAUGUGGUGUAGCCUAUGGCCUAUGUUUAUUGUUAUUCAGUACAGUAAUGUUGGAUAAACCAUGAUUCGCCCUUUCUGGGCCUGCUAUUUUUCAACUCGCCGUCUGCCCCUCAUGAGUGCUCUUUCCUAGGUUUGGUGACGAGAGACCCUUGCAGAGGUGCUGCUGCUGGGAUUUGCUGUUGUAUUCAUGUUCUAGUAACCGUGGUUCGUGUAAGCAUGUCUGAACUUGGCAGCACUGCUCCUCCCUUCGUUGAUUUAUAGUAUACUUAUUCUCCAUGUGAGAUUUCCUGUUAACUGAAUUAAAGUCGUUGUAAUCAUGGUAUUGCUUGAUUUUCUUCCCAAAUUUUUUGGGCAAACAUUGCCCGAAACUGUCCUGUAAAAGAAGCUCAGGCACAUUGAAACAG
This 2517-nucleotide ribosomal RNA is filed under the name Triticum aestivum (bread wheat). Its description in RNAcentral is "partial small subunit ribosomal RNA". Lineage: Eukaryota; Viridiplantae; Streptophyta; Magnoliopsida; Poales; Poaceae. The record is from RNAcentral.